CCUGGAUUGGGUCUCCUGACAUCAUGAGGUUCCGGUUCUGUGGCGAUCUGGACUGUCCCGAUUGGGUCCUAGCAGAGAUCAGCACACUGGCCAAAAUUUCCUCUGUGAAGCUGCGGCUACUGUGUAGCCAGGUGCUAAAGGAGCUUCUGGGACAGGGGAUUGACGUGAGUACAGGACCCAACAUCGCACUGUCCGAUAACCUUAUGAGGCCCGGAACACUCUGUUCUUCAGCCUCCCCCCU
RNAcentral lists this long non-coding RNA (241 nucleotides) under Rattus norvegicus (Norway rat). RNAcentral's name for it is "long non-coding RNA NONRATT028614". The record is from RNAcentral. Lineage: Eukaryota; Metazoa; Chordata; Mammalia; Rodentia; Muridae.